RNAcentral lists this ribosomal RNA (918 nucleotides) under uncultured archaeon. RNAcentral's name for it is "bacterial SSU rRNA". It matches the Rfam family "Archaeal small subunit ribosomal RNA", at positions 1 to 921 of the family's 1478-position model. The record is from RNAcentral.
UUCCGGUUGAUCCUGCCGGAGGCCAUUGCUAUUGGGAUCCGAUUUAGCCAUGCUAGUCGUACGAGUUCAGACUCGUGGCGAAUAGCUCAGUAACACGUGGCCAAACUACCCUUCGGACCGCAAUACCCUCGGGAAACUGAGGCUAAUAGCGGACACCACACGCAGACUGGAAUGUCGCGUGUGCCAAACGCUCCGGCGCCGAAGGAUGUGGCUGCGGCCGAUUAGGUAGACGGUGGGGUAACGGCCCACCGUGCCAAUAAUCGGUACGGGUCAUGAGAGUGAGAACCCGGAGACGGAAUCUGAGACAAGAUUCCGGGCCCUACGGGGCGCAGCAGGCGCGAAACCUUUACACUGCACGCCAGUGCGAUAAGGGGAUCCCAAGUGCGUAGGCAUAGAGCCUACGCUUUUGUCCACCCUAGGGUGGUGGACGAAUAAGGGCUGGGCAAGACCGGUGCCAGCCGCCGCGGUAAUACCGGCAGCCCGAGUGAUGGCCGAUCUUAUUGGGCCUAAAGCGUCCGUAGCUGGCCGCACAAGUCCAUCGGGAAAUCCACCUGCUCAACAGGUGGGCGUCCGGUGGAAACUGUGUGGCUUGGGACCGGAAGGCGCGACGGGUACGUCUGGGGUAGGAGUGAAAUCCUGUAAUCCUGGACGGACCGCCGAUGGCGAAAGCACGUCGCGAAGACGGAUCCGACAGUGAGGGACGAAAGCUAGGGUCUCGAACCGGAUUAGAUACCCGGGUAGUCCUAGCCGUAAACACUGCCUGCUAGGUGUGGCACCCACUACGAGUGGGCGCUGUGCCGUAGGGAAGCCGCUAAGCAGGCCGCCUGGGAAGUACGUCCGCAAGGAUGAAACUUAAAGGAAUUGGCGGGGGAGCACUACAACCGGAGGAGCCUGCGGUUUAAUUGGAUUCAACGCCGG